RNAcentral lists this ribosomal RNA (344 nucleotides) under uncultured Cercozoa. Its description in RNAcentral is "bacterial SSU rRNA". The stretch from base 83 to 344 matches the Rfam family "Eukaryotic small subunit ribosomal RNA", at positions 694 to 955 of the family's 1831-position model. Lineage: Eukaryota; Cercozoa. The record is from RNAcentral.
GAUUUCUGGUAUGAUGCCCCUGAUCCGUGCCCUUUACGGGGUAUGUGUGUUGGUGUGGCGUCUGCCAUCUUAUGUGUAGAUGCUUUGUUCUCUUGGUGCCUUUACUGGUUUCAAGGAACUUAGGUUAUCAUCUACAUCUUUUACUUUGAAAAAAUUAGAGUGUUUAAAGCAGGCUUUUAGCCCUUGAAUACAUUAGCAUGGAAUAAUAAUAUAGGACUUCGGUUCUAUUUUGUUGGUUUCUAGUACUGAAGUAAUGAUUGAUAGGGAUAGUUGGGGGUGCUAGUAUUCAGCGGCCAGAGGUGAAAUUCUUGGAUUCGCUGAAGACUAACUUAUGCGAAAGCAUU